Molecule: ribosomal RNA, 433 nt
Filed under: uncultured bacterium
Lineage: Bacteria
Description: bacterial SSU rRNA
Rfam family: Bacterial small subunit ribosomal RNA
Source: RNAcentral
AGCGAACGCUGGCGGCAGGCCUAAUACAUGCAAGUCGAGCGGUCCCUUCGGGGGCAGCGGCGGACGGGUGAGUAACGCGUGGGAACGUGCCCUUUGGUACGGAACAACUGAGGGAAACUUCAGCUAAUACCGUAUGUGCCCUUCGGGGAAAGGAUUUAUCGCCAUUGGAGCGGCCCGCGUUGGAUUAGGUAGUUGGUGAGGUAAAGGCUCACCAAGCCUACGAUCCAUAGCUGGUCUGAGAGGAUGAUCAGCCACACUGGGACUGAGACACGGCCCAGACUCCUACGGGAGGCAGCAGUAGGGAAUCUUGCGCAAUGGGCGAAAGCCUGACGCAGCCAUGCCGCGUGAAUGAUGAAGGUCUUAGGAUUGUAAAAUUCUUUCACCGGGGACGAUAAUGACGGUACCCGGAGAAGAAGCCCCGGCUAACUUCGUG